CUCACCCGUCCUCUCUUCGUCUCUCAUAAACACCGCGAUUGAAAAUUCGGGCCGUCACGUUGUUUUGUCUAGCAACCCGUCCUCUCUUCGUCUCUCAUAAACGAAACCCUAGAUUUCCCAUCUGCGUGCGGCGGCGAGCGGCGAGCGGCAGCGAGGAGCGAGCGGCGGCGAUAGGCGAGAGGUGACAACGAGUGACGGCGAGCGGCGUCGUUUCAUCAAAAGUGACGACGAGUGACGCCGAGCGACGAGCGGCGACAAACGGCGAGCUCGAUCAAUUCUGCUAUCUCAGACAAGAAAAUCGCCACAAUAUCAUCUGAUGGCUUUUGGGAAGAAGAAGAAAGUUUCAACUGCACAUUUAGUCAACUCAAAGUUGUGGAGGUGACUGACUUCAGCGGCAUCACAUCUGAACUUAAGCUCAUCGAGUUUGUGCUUGCUAAUUCACCUGUUCUUGGCUUUUGUGAAGGAGCAGAAGUUUGUUACUGUUGUAAUUUUUUUUGUGUAAAUAAUAUUGUCUGUAAUUAGUUCUUGUGUUUGAACACCUUAGUGCAUGUAAUUUUUUUGUUGAGGCCACACUUUUACAAAAAUUUGUUCAUGUUAUAAUUGCUAUAGCUGAACAGGGAAAUUGCUAUCUGUUACUGAUAAAACUAUGUCUAGAGAGGUGUGCUUUAAUGAA
Long non-coding RNA from Asparagus officinalis (garden asparagus), 673 nucleotides. RefSeq lists it as uncharacterized. NCBI's taxonomy places the organism in Eukaryota, Viridiplantae, Streptophyta, Magnoliopsida, Asparagales, Asparagaceae. The transcript has 2 exons. The record is from RefSeq and is a predicted model, not a curated record.